Molecule: long non-coding RNA, 266 nt
Organism: Brienomyrus brachyistius
Lineage: Eukaryota; Metazoa; Chordata; Actinopteri; Osteoglossiformes; Mormyridae
Exons: 3
Source: RefSeq, a predicted model, not a curated record
GCUGCGUGCUCUAUGCCGAUGCGCCUUCCAUACAAGGGUGAUUUUGGAUGUGGUUUCCACUCUCUGUGGGGAGAAACAAAGCAAUUGUUUGUCACCGGCAUCCUGAAACCACUGGCGCCAGUGGGCUCUCCACUUUCUGUUCCCUGCCUGUAUGAUGCCACGCCCUCAUGCCAAACCCGCCCGGAUCCUUGACAGUUUUGUGCAGGCACUCAGCUCACCUCUUUGUUCUUUCCUGCUGCAAUUGGAGGAUAAUAUUUUAAAUAGUA